Molecule: unclassified non-coding RNA, 214 nt
Filed under: Glomeraceae sp.
Lineage: Eukaryota; Fungi; Glomeromycota; Glomeromycetes; Glomerales; Glomeraceae
Description: partial contains 5.8S ribosomal RNA and internal transcribed spacer 2
Rfam family: 5.8S ribosomal RNA (bases 1-71)
Source: RNAcentral
GUGAAUCAUCAAAUUUUUGAACGCAAAUUGCACUCUCUGGUAUUCCGGAGAGUAUGCCUGUUUGAGGGUCAGUUUAAAUAAAAAUCGGUGUGUUUCCUGCCUUUCUUGGUGACUCGCCGGAUUUGGGUCUUCUUGCCUUCGGUUGAGUGACUUAAAAUUUUGCAUGAUUUUGUUCGAACGUAUUUAAGUGAUUUUAGGUACUUUUGCGAUAUCG